GAGUUUGAUCCUGGCUCAGGAUGAACGCUAGCGGCAGGCUUAACACAUGCAAGUCGAACGGUAACAGAAAAAGCUUGCUUUUUGCUGACGAGUGGCGAACGGGUGCGUAACGCGUAUGCAACCUACCUUCUUCUAAGGAAUAGCCCAGAGAAAUUUGGAUUAAUACCUUAUGAUAAUAUUUAUUCGCAUGUUUAAAUAUUUAAAACUCCGGUGGAAGAAGAUGGGCAUGCGUAACAUUAGUUUGUUGGUGAGGUAAUGGCUCACCAAGACUACGAUGUUUAGGGGGUCUGAGAGGAUGAUCCCCCACACUGGUACUGAGACACGGACCAGACUCCUACGGGAGGCAGCAGUGAGGAAUAUUGGUCAAUGGACGAAAGUCUGAACCAGCCAUGCCGCGUGAAGGAUGACGGCCCUACGGGUUGUAAACUUCUUUUGUAUAGGAAGAAACCCCUCUACGUGUAGAGGGUUGACGGUACUAUUCGAAUAAGCACCGGCUAACUCCGUGCCAGCAGCCGCGGUAAUACGGAAGGUGCGAGCGUUAUCCGGAAUUAUUGGGUUUAAAGGGUGCGUAGGCGGAAAUUUAAGUCAGUGGUGAAAGCCUGCAGCUUAACUGUAGAAUUGCCAUUGAUACUGGAUUUCUUGAAUCUAAUAGAAGUAGGCGGAAUAUGACAUGUAGCGGUGAAAUGCUUAGAUAUGUCAUAGAACACCGAUAGCGAAGGCAGCUUACUAUGUUAGUAUUGACGCUAAUGCACGAAAGCGUGGGGAGCGAACAGGAUUAGAUACCCUGGUAGUCCACGCCGUAAACGAUGAUUACUCGCUAUUGGCGAUACACUGUCAGUGGCUAAGCGAAAGUGAUAAGUAAUCCACCUGGGGAGUACGAUCGCAAGUUGAAACUCAAAGGAUUGACGGGGGCCGCACAAGCGUGGAGCAUGUGGUUUA
Molecule: ribosomal RNA, 939 nt
Filed under: uncultured Bacteroidota bacterium
Lineage: Bacteria; Pseudomonadati; Bacteroidota
Description: bacterial SSU rRNA
Rfam family: Bacterial small subunit ribosomal RNA
Source: RNAcentral